RNAcentral lists this ribosomal RNA (292 nucleotides) under uncultured bacterium. Its description in RNAcentral is "partial 16S ribosomal RNA". It matches the Rfam family "Bacterial small subunit ribosomal RNA", at positions 505 to 796 of the family's 1533-position model. The record is from RNAcentral.
GUGCCAGCCGCCGCGGUAAUACAGAGGGUGCAAGCGUUAAUCGGAAUUACUGGGCGUAAAGCGCGCGUAGGCGGCUGUCUAAGUCGGGUGUGAAAGCCCCGGGCUCAACCUGGGAACUGCAUUCGAUACUGGACGGCUAGAGUAUGAGAGAGGGAGGUAGAAUUCCACGUGUAGCGGUGAAAUGCGUAGAUAUGUGGAGGAAUACCGGUGGCGAAGGCGGCCUCCUGGUUCAAUACUGACGCUGAGGUGCGAAAGCGUGGGGAGCAAACAGGAUUAGAAACCCCAGUAGUCC